UACGUAGGGUGCUAGCGUUGUCCGGAUUUAUUGGGCGUAAAGAGCUCGUAGGCGGUUUGUCGCGUCGUCCGUGAAAACUCACAGCUUAACUGUGAGCUUGCGGUCGAUACGGGCAGGCUAGAGUUCGGUAGGGGAGACUGGAAUUCCGAGUGUAGCGGUGAAAUGCGUAGAUAUUGGGAGGAACACCAGUGGCGAAGGCGGCUCACUGGACCGGUUCUGACGCUGAAGCGCGAAAGCGUGGGGAGCAAACGGG
This 253-nucleotide ribosomal RNA is filed under the name uncultured bacterium. RNAcentral describes it as "partial 16S ribosomal RNA". It matches the Rfam family "Bacterial small subunit ribosomal RNA", at positions 524 to 776 of the family's 1533-position model. The record is from RNAcentral.